RNAcentral lists this ribosomal RNA (422 nucleotides) under uncultured bacterium. RNAcentral's name for it is "partial 16S ribosomal RNA". It matches the Rfam family "Bacterial small subunit ribosomal RNA", at positions 360 to 774 of the family's 1533-position model. The record is from RNAcentral.
AAUUUUGGACAAUGGGGGAAACCCUGAUCCAGCCAUCCCGCGUGUAUGAUGAAGGCCUUCGGGUUGUAAAGUACUUUGGGCAGAGAAGAAAAGGUAUCUCCUAAUACGAGAUACUGCUGACGGUACCCAAGGAGGAAGCCCCGGCUAACUACGUGCCAGCAGCUGCGGUAAUACGUAGGGGGCAAGCGUUGUCCGGAAUUAUUGGGCGUAAAGGGUGCGUAGGCGGCCUUUUAAGUCAGAUGUGAAAGACCACGGCUUAACCGUGGGGUUGCAUUUGAAACUGGAGGGCUUGAGUAUCGGAGAGGGUAGUGGAAUUCCCAGUGUAGCGGUGGAAUGCGUAGAUAUUGGGAGGAACACCAGUGGCGAAGGCGACUACCUGGACGAAAACUGACGCUGAGGCACGAAAGCUAGGGGAGCAAACA